This 103-nucleotide ribosomal RNA is filed under the name Paramormyrops kingsleyae. The record is from RNAcentral. Lineage: Eukaryota; Metazoa; Chordata; Actinopteri; Osteoglossiformes; Mormyridae.
UCCUGUAUUGCUCCCUCUCUGGGACUGAACCUGCUGCUAAGCAGGUUUGGGCCUCCAGUACUUGGAUGAGAGACCAACUAGGAAAGCUGGGUUUCUGCUGGAA